RNAcentral lists this ribosomal RNA (257 nucleotides) under uncultured bacterium. RNAcentral describes it as "partial 16S ribosomal RNA". It matches the Rfam family "Bacterial small subunit ribosomal RNA", at positions 335 to 584 of the family's 1533-position model. The record is from RNAcentral.
ACUCCUACGGGAGGCAGCAGUGGGAAUAUUGGACAAUGGGGGAACCCUGAUCCAGCAAUGCCGCGUGUGUGAAGAAGGCCUGAGGGUUGUAAAGCACUUUCAACUGUGAGGAUUGGGAUUUUGGUUAAUACCCGGAGAUCCUUGACGUUAGCAGUAGAAGAAGCACCGGCUAACUCCGUGCCAGCAGCCGCGGUAAUACGGAGGGUGCAAGCGUUAAUCGGAAUUACUGGGCGUAAAGCGUCUGUAGGCGGCUUAUU